This 750-nucleotide ribosomal RNA is filed under the name Streptococcus sp. HXF0007. RNAcentral describes it as "bacterial SSU rRNA". It matches the Rfam family "Bacterial small subunit ribosomal RNA", at positions 56 to 793 of the family's 1533-position model. The record is from RNAcentral. Lineage: Bacteria; Bacillati; Bacillota; Bacilli; Lactobacillales; Streptococcaceae.
UGCAGUAGACGCUGAAGCUUGGUGCUUGCACCGAGCGGAUGAGUUGCGAACGGGUGAGUAACGCGUAGGUAACCUGCCUCUUAGCGGGGGAUAACUAUUGGAAACGAUAGCUAAUACCGCAUAAAAGUCAACAUUGCAUGAUGUUGACUUGAAAGGUGCAAAUGCAUCACUAAGAGAUGGACCUGCGUUGUAUUAGCUAGUUGGUGAGGUAACGGCUCACCAAGGCGACGAUACAUAGCCGACCUGAGAGGGUGAUCGGCCACACUGGGACUGAGACACGGCCCAGACUCCUACGGGAGGCAGCAGUAGGGAAUCUUCGGCAAUGGACGGAAGUCUGACCGAGCAACGCCGCGUGAGUGAAGAAGGUUUUCGGAUCGUAAAGCUCUGUUGUAAGAGAAGAACGAGUGUGAGAGUGGAAAGUUCACACUGUGACGGUAACUUACCAGAAAGGGACGGCUAACUACGUGCCAGCAGCCGCGGUAAUACGUAGGUCCCGAGCGUUAUCCGGAUUUAUUGGGCGUAAAGCGAGCGCAGGCGGUUAGAUAAGUCUGAAGUUAAAGGCUGUGGCUUAACCAUAGUACGCUUUGGAAACUGUUUAACUUGAGUGCAGAAGGGGAGAGUGGAAUUCCAUGUGUAGCGGUGAAAUGCGUAGAUAUAUGGAGGAACACCGGUGGCGAAAGCGGCUCUCUGGUCUGUAACUGACGCUGAGGCUCGAAAGCGUGGGGAGCAACAGGAUAGAUACCCUGGUAG